This 571-nucleotide ribosomal RNA is filed under the name uncultured bacterium. RNAcentral describes it as "bacterial SSU rRNA". It matches the Rfam family "Bacterial small subunit ribosomal RNA", at positions 338 to 916 of the family's 1533-position model. The record is from RNAcentral.
CCUACGGGAGGCAGCAGUAGGGAAUAUUGGACAAUGGGUGCGAGCCUGAUCCAGCCAUGCCGCGUGCAGGAAGAAGGCCUUCUGGGUUGUAAACUGCUUUUGCCGGGGGAUAAAAGACCCAUGCGUGGGGAAUUGAAGGUACCCGGUGAAUAAGCCACGGCUAACUACGUGCCAGCAGCCGCGGUAAUACGUAGGUGGCGAGCGUUGUCCGGAUUUAUGGGUUUAAAGGGUGCGUAGGCGGCCCCGUAAGUCAGUGGUGAAAUACGGCAGCUCAACUGUCGAGGUGCCAUUGAUACUGCGGGGCUUGAGUACAGUCGAGGUAGGCGGAAUUGACGGUGUAGCGGUGAAAUGCUUAGAUAUCGUCAAGAACACCGAUAGCGAAGGCAGCUUGCUAGGCUGUAACUGACGCUGAGGCACGAAAGUGCGGGGAUCAAACAGGAUUAGAUACCCUGGUAGUCCGCACAGUAAACGAUGGUCACUCGGUGUUGGCGGUACACGGCCAGCGCCUUAGCGAAAGCGUUAAGUGACCACCUGGGGAGUACGCCGCAGGUGAAACUCAAAGGAUUGACGG